RNAcentral lists this ribosomal RNA (254 nucleotides) under uncultured bacterium. RNAcentral's name for it is "partial 16S ribosomal RNA". It matches the Rfam family "Bacterial small subunit ribosomal RNA", at positions 524 to 776 of the family's 1533-position model. The record is from RNAcentral.
UACGUAGGGUCCGAGCGUUUGUCCGGAAUUACUGGGCGUAAAGAGCUCGUAGGUGGUUUGUCGCGUUGUUCGUGAAAACUCACAGCUCAACUGUGGGCGUGCGGGCGAUACGGGCAGACUAGAGUACUGCAGGGGAGACUGGAAUUCCUGGUGUAGCGGUGGAAUGCGCAGAUAUCAGGAGGAACACCGGUGGCGAAGGCGGUUCUCUGGGCAUGUCCUGACGCUGAGGAGCGAAAGUGUGGGGAGCGAACAGG